UCACACACACAACUACACAAGUCGCCAUCCCUACGCUGCACGCGCAGCAUUUGCAGUAGUAGUAGCAGCAAAUAAACCACGCCGCACCGCCGCCCCACCGCGACGAAUCGCUAAUCACUCGCUCCCCACUUGUGGAGUGGCCGCCUGGGUGGCAACUGGGCCUGCCUCGCGCGUGAUGGUGGUGGUGGUCGUCUGGUAGAGGAGUAACCAGUGUAGCAGCAGCCGGUAAACCCGCACCUAAACCAUCGCCCGCGGCCACACGGCGAGGCGAGGCGCAACGCAGAUCCCUCCCAUCCCACUCUUCCCCCCGGCCUGCCGGUUCGCGCGCGGCGGCCAAAGCAAGCAAGCAAGCAAACCUUUUUCGCAGCAAUUUCCGGGCACUAGCUGUCUAGCUCUACACGCCUCGAUCGGCGAUGCGCGCGGGUCGCGUGAUGGCGGAGGGGGGCAACAACAAGCGGAUCGACCUGGCCGCGCCGCUCCGCUCGGGGCGCCUGCCCUACCACAAGGCCGACCUCAAGUCCGGCCCCGUCAGCCACCCCGGCGCCGUGCCUUUCGUCUGGGAGCAGAGCCCCGGCCGGCCCAAGAGCGUCCGCACCCGCCGCCCGCCUCCCACCUCUUCUUCUCCGCCGCGCUCGUCCGAGUACGGCGGCGGCGCGAGCCCCUACCAUGACGCCCUCGGGGAGCGCGAUCGCGCGGCGCCUUAUGGCGUCGCCACCGCCGCCGUUGCGUCUCGGAAUGGGACCGCGGGGCGCUGGGCGGAGGCCGAGGCGAAGAAGGAAUCCGUGGCUGAAUUGCUGCGGAGGGAGGAGGAGGAGGAGGACGCCGGCGAUGACGACGAGAGGUUCUCGGACGCGCUGGACACGCUCUCCCGGACGGAGUCAUUCACCGUCAACUGCAGCGUCAGCGGCCUCAGCGGCAUGCCGGACCGCCCCGCUGGUGCGGCCGCGGGCGCCGAGGCGGGCGCACGCGGCUUCAUGAUGGACCGCUUCCUGCCGGCCGCGCAGGCGGUGGCCGUCGGCUCCCCGCAGUACACCUUCCGCAAGGCCGGCGCGGCCGGUGCCACUAGCAACUCGGGCCGCGACCAUGCGCGCGCGGCUUCAGCCAAUUGCAGGACGGGCAGUGACGAUGAUCACGCCAGGAGAGCGCCUGUUCGGCUCCCGUACCAGCAUCUACCUCCCAAUUACUUGUCUUGUAACUACCCAAGACGCGAGGAGCUUGGACAGGAGGAGGAAGAGGACGACGAUGACUACGACGUGCAUAGUACCCGUGGUUUUGCAUCCAAGGGGUGUGGUUUGCUCCCUGGUUUGUGUGCUAAAAGCUCCUUGUUCCUACUGAAUCCAGUGCCUAUGAUGAAGCGUGGCAAGGUGCGCGGGAGAGGGAGAGGCAGGGGCGUGCCAUCCAAAGGCAGGUCCCAGAAUGCACCCAGCCCUCUUGCGCGGAGCUCACAAAACAACCAUCCUGGUUGUGAUUCUAAUAGGCAAUCAUGGGAGGAAGUGUAUAAGCACAAGUUGGAGCACAAGUAUAUUCACCAAGGAGAGGAUAGGAGGAGCAAGCUGACAAGUGAAUCGAAUCAUCUGACCUUCUGGAGUGACUCUCAGACCGGGGAUGGGUCUUCACCAUUCCACCACUCCAUAGGUGGUGACACAUCUCCCUACUGUAAGGAUAUUGUCUUGUCACCAUCACACAAAGCAGAUGAAUCAUUUAGAAUGGAAGAUAAAGAUGACAAAAUGAGUAGAAGCAAUGGCUCCAGCUCACUUGGAAAAGACCAUGAUCAUAGCUCAUUGGUUGGAUCAGAUCACAGUAGUUUGAAGGGGUCAAGCUCCAUGAGCUCAGGGCCUGAUAGAAGAGUGCACGAAGAUUCAGAAACUACACACUUGGCUCUGCUACUGGAUACAAAGUUAUCUUUGAAUUCAAGAUAUGAUAGUCAGCUUGGAGGACGACAGAUAGUUGGAAACACUAUUGUGGAAGGUCAAGACGUUGAUCCAUCGACAGAAAGGAUCACUCAAGUGCCAGAACCCGCUUUGUUAAUGUCUUCUGGAAACUCGGAAUCAGUGAAAUUGGAUGAUAGAAAAACUUCCACUAGUGAUACUAGUCAGCAUGUCCAACUACAUUCGACAGAUAAUAAUGUUGUCAAGAAGCAAAAUAUGCCCUUGCAGUAUCUACUACCUUUACCUGUCCCUAAGUCACCUUCAGAAUCCUGGCUUUCUCGCAAUUUGCCAUCUGCGAAAAACAAACCACCGAUGCCAUCAUUUCUUGGAAUGCAAGUACAGCCAAAGAAACAAGCUCCAUGGGACUCGAUGCACCCGAAGGAGAAUGAUCUAAAACCUUCCAGGCCACGUCAAAUAAGAUUUGCAGAUGUGGUAGAAAGGCCUAAUUAUUUGGAUUCUGAGAUAUGAUGUUUUCUCUGACGACCAAGAUUUAUUCAAGAUUGGAGGUUGACAUCAGGAUCAUAUACCUGCGACUGCCAGUGCCCAAUGGUUCCGUAGAGGCAUAAAUGUGCUAUGUUUUGCUGUUGCAGUGAUAGCUGGUUACUACUUACGAGCAAUCCAGCAUGUUGAUAAUUUCAACGGGUAUGCCAUGUCUGCAUACAAUAUGCUUCAUGUUGCCCAAGCAGCGAGAUUAAAGCGUCUACCAGCCUCCAGGCUACCAGAAGUAUCAACCGCGGUCUACCCUUUACAGACCAGCAAACAGCCGACUUAGCCAGACGAGACAGAGUUAUGAAACUAUCCAGGCCACAACAAAAACUUCAGCUUCACAGAGCUAGAACAGAUAGGCAGAUCAGAUGGAGCAUGUCCAAGCGUCACGCAGAGACAGUGACUGAAGAUCUUGACAUGCGCUCAUCGCCAGGAGUGUGACCGUCUUCCUCUUCUUCAUCGCCACGGUAGGCCUGGGAUCUCCUGUGAUUUGGUCUCGAGCUGCCGAAGAUUAAACUCCAGCGCUGGCAGAUUUCCUUUUGUACAGAGGGCCUUCCAUGCGUAGGUGUUUUAGGAGCAUUCGCCAGGGUACCUGCAUAACAGACCAAGACAUGGAACGAAAAAACACGUUAUUUCGAUACUUCCAAAUAGUCCA
This is an RNA transcript of Brachypodium distachyon (stiff brome), 3069 nucleotides long. RefSeq lists it as uncharacterized. The record is from RefSeq and is a predicted model, not a curated record. NCBI's taxonomy places the organism in Eukaryota, Viridiplantae, Streptophyta, Magnoliopsida, Poales, Poaceae. The transcript has 4 exons.